Ruditapes philippinarum (Manila clam) is the source of this 760-nucleotide long non-coding RNA. RefSeq lists it as uncharacterized. The transcript has 3 exons. Lineage: Eukaryota; Metazoa; Mollusca; Bivalvia; Venerida; Veneridae. The record is from RefSeq and is a predicted model, not a curated record.
CAAUCAAGUAAAAGAUUAGUGUUCCCUUAUACUCUACCUAACUUUAAAGCUAGUUUUAAUAUAAAUCUGCUUCAGUUUUCUGAUAUGUUAUGGUAUGAGAUUUUUGAAAUAUUUUUGAAUGUGUAUUUUUAUAUAUUGCAAUCAGGAUAAAUGCACAAAGCAAGGAGACACGGACAUUGGAUGAAAUCAAGAAAAAGCUGUCAGAUAUGAAAACAGCUAUUAAGAAGAAUGUGAGGGAGAGAAGACAGUUUUCCACCAACAGGCGGUGGCCCUGCUCCUAUACUAAAUGAACAGGAUGAGAAGCUGCCACAGACGAAAGACCAAUCUUUACUGACCAAACAUCCGAGGGAACGUUACAGGGAACAUCUGCCAAUGUUAAUGAUGCGAAAAAAUACAGCCAAAGUAACAAAAAAAGAAAAAGCAAUGCUGAUGAUGAUGGGGAUAAAAUCAUGUCAAUAUUAGAAGACCAAACGCAAGUGUUAAAACAGAUUCUUGAAGAGCAAAGGAAAACAAAUAAGAUUUUAAGUCAACUAUUUGCUGUCAAUGCUGAACCUUAAAUAACAUCAAUUAUAAUGUACAUGUAACAUAUAAAUGAAAUAUUGAUGAUUUUUGAUUUCUGUAUUUUCACUGUAAAAUUUCUUUUUCACUUCAGUGAAACAUAUUUUCCGUAUUUUUACUGAUGUCUUGCUGGACUACUUUCUUCUAAAUUGAGGCAAUAAACAAAAUUCAAGGGGAAAUCUUUCACAUUGUAAUGUUAAAA